GUGCUCACUUCAGCAGCGCAUAUACUAAAAUUGAAACAAUUCAGAGAAGAUUAGCAUGGCCCCUGUGCAAGGAUGACGUGCAAAUUUGUGAAGCGUUCCAUAUUUUU
Small nuclear RNA from Hippopotamus amphibius kiboko, 107 nucleotides. The record is from RefSeq and is a predicted model, not a curated record. Lineage: Eukaryota; Metazoa; Chordata; Mammalia; Artiodactyla; Hippopotamidae.